CAUUUCUACUGUCAGAGAACGAAAAAGCGCCUGCACAGAGACGGAGCAUUAACCAUGCUUCUCGCUUCGCCCGAUUGCUUCUCUUCUUCUGCUGCGUCUUCUAUGCUUUCAUCUUCACUCUCUCACAAUCGUAAAUUCUACUCCCUCUUAUCUAAGACCCCAAUUUCAAUUAACUUACCUAUUCGAACUCGAUCCACACGAUUCUGUACAGCGAGCUUGAUUACUAGCCCCGACUCGUUCGAGGUUGGGAAACUCAUCGGCAGCUAUGGGUUCAUGAACGUUACGAGCUAUUCAGGGUACCAGUCGGGGAUGGAUAUGGAAUUUUCAUCUCUAGGGAAUAUGGGGCAACUGAAAGUUCAAGAUGUGGGUGAAGGUGGUGUAAAGAUCAGUUAUUUUGCAGGCUUUAUGAAGGGAGAAUAGCUCAGGGCUCGCUUAAAGGGACUCCAGUUGUUUUUAAGGUUUAUCCUGGGCAGCGAGCUGCUGGUGUUGAAGCUGAUAUGAUGGCAGCAAAUGAGCUUAAUACUCAUGCUGUACUUCAGAGUAGUUCAAAAGGUAUCUGUCAGAAUCUCCUGAUACUUGUAGGAGGAUUUGAGACCAAAACCGGGGAACAGGUCUGUUAAGUAAGACCAAAUAUCAACUUUUAAUCAUAAAGUGAUUAGAUAUUUCCUUUGGUGCAAUCAAAUUGAUUAAAUUUAUGUUGAAAAAUUUUACUUACCGAAGUCACACACAUACAAAGAUUAGAAUAGAAAAGCAGAAAGAGAGAGAAAAACGAGACACAAGAAAUUUGUGGUUUGGCAGUGAGUCUAUGUCCAUUGAGACACCCCUGCAAUUUUCCACUACAAAGGAUAAGGUUUCAAAUGCAUAUUUGUCGAUUUAAGUUUUCCUUUUAUUAGUAGAAAUGUGAAAAAUUCAUAGUUACAAGAAUAACCUCCCCUGAUUAGAACUGCCUUUGGCUGAUAAUACUGUACCAUACUGUGAGAGCAGAAACCCUGGGCAAUCCUCACCUGUCUACUCAAAAGUUGGAUAAUCUUAGGUAUUCUGUGAGGAGGCCCCUCCUUGUGAAACCCCCUUUUUGUCAAGCUUUUGCUUUGCUGCAUUUUCUCAAAAUAUGAGUCAUAAUCUCAGUAAUUUGAUGCAUUUGCAGUGGCUUGCUUUUCGUAAUGCUGGGAAAUAUAGUGCAGCAGACUAUGCAAAAAUUAUGAGUGAAAGAAUAUCAAAAAGCCAUUCCAUGGGAGAGAACUCUUGGAAUCCUUUUGAACGAGAGCAAACAAUAAAGCUAAGAAGAAACUUUGUUAUCAAGCUUCUUAGGGGUGCUAUUAGUGGCCUAGUGUACAUGCAUGACCAUGACAGAUUGCACCAGAGUCUUGGACCAUCUUCUAUUGUUCUUAAGUAUGUUAGAAAGAUUUCAUUUUACCAUUUUUUUUCCAAAUGAGUUCUAGAGUUUAUGUGUUCUUUUUCUUGGGAUUUUAUGCCAAGUAUUGCUUGACUGAUUGCAGUACUAUAAUAGAGAAAGAUGCUGCUUACUUAGUUCCACGACUUCGGGAUCUAGCCUUUUCCGUUGAUAUUCGGUACUGCAGUGUUCCUUCUCUUCUUGAUAUGAUCUGACUUUCGUGAAUUUUUUUUUUCUACUUAAAAAGUUUAAGCUCUAGAUAUUUCUGCUGUUUGGUAUGGAUAACACAACGACUGUAGUAUCCAGUAGAAAUUUUUAUGAUCAGUUAUGCUAUCAAAUGUCGUGGAUUUCCAACCUUUAUCAGGUGCACAGGUUUCAAAUUUGGCACCACUGCUAAGUACUUGAAUUUUCCAAAAUGAUAGAAGCCUUUCUAGAUCUUUGUAAUACUGCUGCCUAAUAAUUUCUCAAGCCAAAACACAUUAUUUUCUAGACCUUUAUAUCCGAUGGACAUGGUUUCCCAGGAUUUCAUGUCUAGAAGAGGGCCUUGGAACACUAUCAGAAGGACUUUGGAGAAGGGCAAUUACUUCUGGCUGCUUCACACCUAUGGAGAAAAGAGCCUUUGGAAUUGCAGAUGACAUGUAAUUUGUUCUAAUGGAAAAUCACUUUAUAAGUUGGGUUUCUUAAUGCCUAAUUCUUUUGACUGUAUUCUUUAUUGGCCCUGUAUAGAUAUGAAGCAGGUCUCCUUUUUGCGUACUUGGCUUUUGUUCCGUUUUGCGAAGCUGGCAUUAUGGAUAGUCUUUCUUUGCAAGUAAGCUAGCUACAAUGUUACCACACUACUUUCAUUCCUGCAUUAUGUCUCAACAUGCCUUUGUCUUCAUAUAUAUGCAAGCCCCUGGAUCUACAUGCAUGUGCGUACAUAUGGCUGUAGAUGCAUAUAUAAGCUGAUUUUUUAUUGACCCAAAUCAUUUCUGCAUGAACUUGCAGAGGCUUUUGGAAAAUACUUUCCAACUUGAUCUUGAAGCUGUAAGAGAGUAAGAUGAUUUUAAUACUUUAUGACUCGAGUAAAUUUCUUGUUUGUUGCAUGCAAAUGAUAAAUUUAAUAUUGCUGGAGUCUAGAUGCCUCAAACAAACUACUUUAAUUAACGAAACUUCUCUGGCUUAUUUGAUUUGGGCAUUAUGCUUUAAUUUACAAAUAUUGAAAGUUUGAGGCUCCUUGGAGUCCAUGAUUUCAUGACCUACCUAUUGGUUACGUACAGAGAAUGCUCAUUUAAAGAAGCUACAUGCCACUUGGAUAUUUAUGGACUCUAAAGCAAGUAAAAGCUCAUUUUACCAGAUUCUCCUCAAGCUUGGGAUACAUCUUUAUGAGCCUAGGGGUGGUUUUUAGAAUAAAGUCGUUUGUCUACCUAAAUGGAGCUGCAAAUAAUUGAUUGUAUAGCUUCAUGGAACAUCUGAAUUUCUAACAAGAGCACAACACAAAUUAAAGUAAUGUUCUAGCUUAUGCUAAAAAUUCAAGUGAAAAAAGUAAAUUUCUUGGCUAUUACCAUGCUCACUAUGAUGCAAUAGAUGAGGUGCCAGUCCCCUCUGUUGACACAUUUUUCUGUUGUAUCACUUGAGCUGUUAAUUGAGUCUCAUUAGAUUACCUAUUAAAAAGUUUUUUAGUCAUAUAAUGUAUAUGGACACCAUGAGUCAAAGGGCUUCUUUAAUUCUGGAGAAGUGAACAGCGUUUUCAAAAAAGAAAAGAAAAAAUAGAUAAUAUUAAUCAUUGUUAAAUGUAGGCCACUAAUUUCUUUAAUUUGAUAUUCAACUGGAAACCAAUUUCUAGGCUAUAUAUAUAUGCACAUGCAUACACAUAUUAGAUUAUGCGUUUUUCUGGUUGUAUGAAUAUUGUAUUCAUACAUUUUCUAUAUUAAAGCUUUAGGCAACAUGCAAAGGUUCAUUAUUUAUGCUUAUAAAUGUGAUAAUUUUGCAGAUGAAAACAUAAGACUAUUUGUAGGAAUUCUCUUAGGCUUGACAGUGAAUUUUGACAUCCUGUGGUCUUGGUAUUGCCAUACCCUUAUUUUCUUAUGUUUUCCCCCUUCAUUUUUAUUGCAUGAUGCAGAUAUUGUUUAGCAGAUGAUCGGUUGGAAGAAGCUGUCAAAUUUCUGGAUCUUGGUGACAGGGCCGGUUGGCAAUUACUUCAGGCAAUGCUAAAUUCUGACUUCCGAAAACGACCAAUUGCAGAAGCUGUGCUAAACCAUCGGUUCAUGACUGGCGCUGUACUUUGAGUAGCAAAAGCUGCAGUGAGUUUCCAAUGUAAUGUGCAUAAUAAAAAUUUAAAAGCAGAAUAUGCCUCAUUAAAUGAAUAAAUAGUAAACCACAGCCACAGCCACUUUUUUGCCCAACAAGUCUUUGUAAUUUCCCAAGUACAUGAUCUUCUCUUCUACACUGUGCACUCUAUGCUAUUAAAUAUUUACAUCACAAUUUAUAAUUUAU
This 3862-nucleotide unclassified non-coding RNA is filed under the name Hevea brasiliensis (rubber tree). Lineage: Eukaryota; Viridiplantae; Streptophyta; Magnoliopsida; Malpighiales; Euphorbiaceae. The record is from RNAcentral.